Molecule: microRNA precursor, 78 nt
Filed under: Schistosoma haematobium
Lineage: Eukaryota; Metazoa; Platyhelminthes; Trematoda; Strigeidida; Schistosomatidae
Description: mir-3492 microRNA precursor family
Rfam family: mir-3492 microRNA precursor family
Source: Rfam by way of RNAcentral
AGUCUUCUGUAUCCGUGCUGAGAUUUCGUCACAUACCAGACCACAAGGGCUGAUGAGACUUCCAAUAUAAGUGAAGCG